GAUGAAGAACGCAGCGAAAUGCGAUAAGUAAUGUGAAUUGCAGAAUUCAGUGAAUCAUCGAAUCUUUGAACGCACAUUGCGCCCGCUAGUAUUCUGGCGGGCAUGCCUGUCCGAGCGUCAUUUCAACCCUCAAGCCCCCGGGCUUGGUGUUGGGGAUCGGCGAGCCUCCGCGCCCGCCGUCCCCUAAAUCUAGUGGCGGUCUCGCUGUAGCUUCCUCUGCGUAGUAGCACACCUCGCACUGGGAAACAGCGCGGCCACGCCGUUAAACCCCCAACUUCUGAACGUUUGACCUCGGAUCAGGUAGGAAUACCCGCUGAACUUAAGCAUAUAAAUAAGCGGAGGA
Molecule: unclassified non-coding RNA, 343 nt
Filed under: soil metagenome
Description: partial contains 5.8S ribosomal RNA, internal transcribed spacer 2, and large subunit ribosomal RNA
Rfam family: 5.8S ribosomal RNA (bases 1-120)
Source: RNAcentral